CCUACAGCAGCACGUCCUGCUCAGGGCGGGCUCCUGGCCCUUCCCAGCCUGCUUUGCAAGCCCUGCCUAGCGCGAUUGGAAGAGACAGCAGCACGUUAAACCCCCCACCCCGUAGAGACCCGAUUCACCGCCGCCCUUAUCUGCAUAUGCAAAUCGCAUGUAAAUGAGAUCCGCGGACGGCGUUACCCCCCUGGCCUGCCCAGCGCAGCCCCAACGCGCUGCCGGGGCGCGGGACGCAGACACACGUGACAGCCCGGUGUGGACGCGGCCACAGCCCGGACCGAGCACACGUGCGGGCUGCAAACGGCUCCCAGCCCCAUCCCCCCGCGGAGCCCAUCGCCGGCUGACCGCUCCGGGAGGGAGGGAGGAGCCCCCCGCCCACACCAAGCCCCUUGCAGGGCCCACGGCACAUAGGAACAGGCUCCUCUUGCCUGGGGGCGCUGCCCAGGAGCCCGGGGUGACCUGCCUGCGGCUCAGCUGCUUCUGGGUCCAAGCCCUGUGCUGCCCUGAGACCGUGCACAUUCAUCACUGUGGUGGGGACAAAAAUACAAAAAAACCCCAGGCAAUUAGUCCACACUGGUGGAGGGGGCCAGCUUUCCACCACGUGGGGGACCAGGGUAACAGCUAUUGGGCACGAUUAUAAGUGGCUCUGAGCUAACAGAUUAGUGUAAAACAAAGUAUAAAGGAGCACGUAUGUCAAGUGACCAGCAUGACGGAUGGGACAGAAGGACCAUUGCUGAACCAAGCCUGGACCCCAGACUCCCAGUGUGAGCAAAGAUUGGAUCCUGACCUAGAGCUCUUCCUGGUGACCCCUCGGACAGCAUUGAUUGGGGACGCCCGAGUUCGCUGGAGCAACUUGCCGUGCACCUGGCAUAGAGGGACUGCUGAUAAGUUGCCAACCCCAUGUGCGAACUCUUUGCCAUUCUGUCUGUCUGUUGUUAUCAUUCACUAUUAGCUCUUUAUUACUGUACUACCUGUUUGUCACAUUAGCCUUUCUGUUAACUGUUGUAUGCUGAGCUAUCAGUAAAUUUGCCUUUGCUUCA
Molecule: long non-coding RNA, 1043 nt
Organism: Alligator mississippiensis (American alligator)
Lineage: Eukaryota; Metazoa; Chordata; Crocodylia; Alligatoridae
Exons: 2
Source: RefSeq, a predicted model, not a curated record